UGUUCACUACGGAAUUAAGAGAUGAACAAAAUUUAUUAGUUUCUUCUGAUUCCAAUCAGGGUUUGUCUAGACAUGGGACGAUUUGAGUUUGACAUGGGAUGUAUUGUACAUCGAGGUAUUCCGUUAGUCCGUAUUGAUUUAGAGUUUGACAUGGGAUGUAUUGUACAUCGAGGUAUUCCGUGUUGAUUUAGAGCUUGACAUGGGAUGUAUUGUACAUCGAGGUAUUCCGUGUUGAUUUAGAGUUUGACAUGGGAUGUAUUGUACAUCGAGGUAUUCCGUGUUGAUUUAGAGCUUGACAUGGGAUGUAUUGUACAUCGAGGUAUUCCGUGUUGAUUUAGAGUUUGACAUGGGAUGUAUUGUACAUCGAGGUAUUCCGUGUUGAUUUAGAGCUUGACAUGGGAUGUAUUGUACAUCGAGGUUUUCCGUGUUGAUUUAGAGUUUGACAUGGGAUGUAAUGUACAUCGAGGAAUUCCGU
Long non-coding RNA from Mytilus californianus (California mussel), 475 nucleotides. RefSeq lists it as uncharacterized. The record is from RefSeq and is a predicted model, not a curated record. The transcript has 3 exons. Lineage: Eukaryota; Metazoa; Mollusca; Bivalvia; Mytilida; Mytilidae.